Molecule: long non-coding RNA, 1276 nt
Organism: Esox lucius (northern pike)
Lineage: Eukaryota; Metazoa; Chordata; Actinopteri; Esociformes; Esocidae
Source: Ensembl
CGCAAUAAUGAUGCUGUUGAGGUAUGUCUGUCGUGUGUUUUGGGUUUUACCCCCCAAAUCACACGACAGACGAAUGUCUAGGGCGUCAUUAUUGCGCACGUAAUUAUGUAAAACUGUCAGGAUAAUACCUGGGACCAAAUACUUUUUGCCGGACUGCUUAAGCGGAGGCGGCCUAGAAGUGCUAAUGUAACUCACUCACCCACCGACCGGCCGUGUUAAAUAGCGUUUUCCGGUGACUGGCGUUUCCUUUCGGUGACGGAUGUGCGACCUAGCAGGCUGUUUGGAGGAAGAUGGACGUGGUAACGUAUGAAAGUUGCAGAAGGCGUAAUAUUAAGUUGUUUGGAAGGUGUGGGCUACGGUAUGUAGAAAGUGGUGACUGAUGGAAGCUUUGGGAAAGUACAGUUUUCAUAUGCUUUAGUAAACUAUGUGGUUGGGUUUUGUAUGUCAGAUUUGAGGGUUUUGUGGAAGUUGAUAGAGGGAUUUGAGAAAGUGUGGAAACUAUAGGUUAUUUUUUGAUUAUUUUUUGAUUAUUUUAGUUAUAAGCGCCUGUAAUUAGAAUGAUGUCGUUUUGUUCCAUGUCCUGACCACCAUUCCCUUGCAGCUAGCCUAUUGCGUUGCGAUUAGUACAGGAUUUUAGGCAGUUGGACUGUGAGAUGGAGAAGUUGAGUGCUCCUGUAUAUAGUUAAAGUUUAUCUACCUCAACAUGAAGCUGGAACUUAUCAAGGAAACCUGAUCACCUUCCUCGGUAAUAGCCAAGCUUAUUUAAUUAAAUAUUACAUGUAGUUCAAGAAACAUUUGAAUGUUAUAUAGGCGUUGAUGAUAAUGUGCCCCAAGGGGGGUCUCACGGAAAAGAAGGUACGCCUUAAUCAAGGCCUACCACGUGGUACCUGACUGUUGCGUGCUGAGCUGUUCGCUAGCACAAGUGGGUACGUCUGAAACCUAGUGAUGAAUUAGAAUUUGGUACAAUGAUUUUCUAAUCUGGUAAAAUAGUCUCAUGGUUAACAUAUUAUUUUCACUCUCCUCAUAUAUUGAAUAAGUGGUAGAAUGAAGUUUAUCCACAUGGUGAUAAACUUGAACAUUAAGGAGACACGCUGUGUCCCAAGAGGACUGAAUUUGAAUCCAAUAUAGUCAUAAAUCUUAAAAGGGUAAUAAACCUAAAGCGAGUUUACUCCCCACAAUCAAAAGUAGAUGUAUUUUAAAUGCUGAAUUGAGUUUGGUUAAUUAAUAUAGUUUCACUUUGUUUUUAUUUACAAUUAUAUCUGGGAUAAUACUGGUG